This 468-nucleotide ribosomal RNA is filed under the name uncultured bacterium. Its description in RNAcentral is "partial 16S ribosomal RNA". It matches the Rfam family "Bacterial small subunit ribosomal RNA", at positions 28 to 507 of the family's 1533-position model. The record is from RNAcentral.
GACGAACGCUGGCGGCGUGCUUAACACAUGCAAGUCGAACGGAAAGGCCCUGCUUUUGUGGGGUGCUCGAGUGGCGAACGGGUGAGUAACACGUGAGUAACCUGCCCUUGACUUUGGGAUAACUUCAGGAAACUGGGGCUAAUACCGGAUAGGAGCUCCUGCUGCAUGGUGGGGGUUGGAAAGUUUCGGCGGUUGGGGAUGGACUCGCGGCUUAUCAGCUUGUUGGUGGGGUAGUGGCUUACCAAGGCUUUGACGGGUAGCCGGCCUGAGAGGGUGACCGGCCACAUUGGGACUGAGAUACGGCCCAGACUCCUACGGGAGGCAGCAGUGGGGAAUAUUGCACAAUGGGCGGAAGCCUGAUGCGGCAACGCCGCGUGCGGGAUGACGGCCUUCGGGUUGUAAACCGCUUUCGCCUGUGACGAAGCGUGAGCGACGGUAAUGGGUAAAGAAGCACCGGCUAACUACGUG